ACUCUCAUUCUACAACAGGUCACUGCUUGUCACAAUUUCUAUUCUGCCUGGGACAGGAAGACCCUGAGAGGUGAAGGGAAGAUUGGGUUAGAGGUAUCCGGGAUCCCCAGAGUCAACAGCAUCAAGAUACAUAUAUUUAGUUCAGUCACCUUCACAUUGUUCCUGUGUUAUUUCACUGAGAAAAGCAAACAAAAGGAUGUUUAAGUUUAAGGCCUCUUGAUUCUGUGCCAAAAAGCAAUAUUCUGUUCCCCGAUCAAAGCAAACAAAACAUGACCUCAUCUCUGCUUCCCAGCAGCCAGGCUUUCAGGAUUAACAAGUUUGCAAUGAAACUAAGCAAGGACACUUCUGAACUAGCAACCCCAGGCUGUGAAAACUGAAUGAGGUCACAGCUGCAGCUGCAGGCUGGGUUCUGCUUAAUCUUCCUGACACAUCAAAGAUGGAAACUGUCCCAGGUUCUAGCGGGCUGAGUUCCAGAAGAUGGCUCUGCACAGUACUGCUGGGGACAAGCCAGGCACUUGCACACUCCCACAAAUGGACUCCAUUCAUCAUGCGCUUUCUUAGCAGAAUCAUAGCUCAUCCUCAUGGGAUUGCAGGGACUCGCUUGAAGAGGCUCUAAUUGGCAACUAACAACAAACUAUGGACAACGGUCCUCCUCUUCAUAUUUAAAAAAGAACUUUGGUGGUAAAACAUUCUGAAAGGGGCUCCUAGUCAUGGCAGCACUGUAUAAUCUCAAGCAUCUCUUUCCACCUCCAGAAAUGAGGUCGAUCUGCUGAGGCCGAUCAUUAAGAACAGUGUGUAGACCAGAGGAUGGGAAAGGUUCGUGCAGCAAAAGGAAGCCAGCCAAACUGGAGGUCAUGGUUUUCAGUGCUGGGAUUCAACAUUAACAGUCCAUGGAGAAUCUAUAAAGGUGGGGGUUGUAGUUCCUGCCUACAUAAGCCUGCACUGCGCUACAAUGAAAGAAAACCCCAAAUUAACUUCUGCUACGUGUAGAAACAUUCUGAGCCAAAAGGUAUAAGAGACACAUAAGCCUAUCUCAUAAAUCCAGCAAAGCCCCAAUUUCUGUGCUUAAGUCAUUCCAAAAAGUAAUUUGUGUGAUGGGUUUUUAUGAACCCGCUGUACAAUUCUUCAGUAGGAUGUGUCCAGCCCCUCAUUUGCAUCAAUCACGACUCUUACAUGGCAAAGCACAGGAUCACGGAGAAGAUUACAGCCAGGCACCAGUCCAAGAGCCAGAAACACGGGUCUCACCUGUUCAGAGUCCCUUUACUUAAGAUGUUUAUCUACAUAGAGACACAAACCCUGGACUUAGCAGUAAUGUGGAAAUGUGGAGCAGUCUAAGACAUGUGAAAAAUCACAUCACCUGAAAUUGAAGGACCAGGAAGCUAGCCCAAACCUAGGACGGGCACCUGUUCCUUCGAAAACUGCCAAGGGAGAGGUUUUGCCUCACACUGGAGGAAAGGAAUGACACAAGAGGGUAUGAAGCAGAGUCGAGAGAAGACGAGAAACUUCCCAGUGAGUUCUUCCAAGCACAGAUUUGCCAAAGAACCUGAGUUGCCCAGGGAGAAUGUUUCUCACUGAAAUCAAGUAAGAUCCACAGUACUAAAUGCUGUCCAGUGUUCCUAGUGAGUGAAGGCCGUGAUGCUCAUUACAGGAGAGACAAUUUCCCAGCAGCUGUUGUACUCAGGCAUGAGUCCAUAGUGUUGACUAGGAGCUGGGUGUUGGUAAAUAACAGAUGUACUAAAUAAAGUGCUUACAGAACCAAAUGGCAAGAAACGAAGGUACACAACGAUGCAAAGACCAAAGUGUUGUGACCUAAGUUCAUCAACUCCAAAGCUGCUUUUCUUCUGCGAGCAGUGUUUCCACCAUCCAUGGCCCCAGCUUCAGAAGACAACUAAGACCAAAACACAAAUACACUUGAACACAUAAAUGGAAAGAAAUGCUCCUGGUCACAUGGACAGCAAGGUGGGCACCACCGAGUCAGGUCACAGACAGCAAGAUGGGCACCACUGAGUCACAGUUUGGGAUCCACCCCUGCUCAGCAUAGAGGUCAUGGCCAUAGCAGCAUUUUGGUGAACGCCCCUCCCCACCAGCUUCGCUCUUGCAUCAAGACUCUUCUGGGGCUUGGUCGAUGUUGAAUUGGAAGAGAAGAGGCUGAAGGAAAGCGGACAACUCCCAGGCUUCUGCAUGUCUCCAGAGUCGGAGUAAUGAGAGCAUGACACAGAGCAGGCACCGUGACAAGAGAAAGGAGUGGGGCCCGAGAGAUACUGCAGAUGCAGGCUUAAUGGUACUUGGCAACGGAGAGGACACAGAAGGUGAGGGAGAGGAAAGCUGGAAACGGCCCCAAGUUUGCUCUCCUAAGUUCCCCUGGCUGGAGCUGAUGCCAACAACUAAGUCUGGGAACCUGAGACAUGCUGAGCUUUGGGGAGAAAGAGACCCUGACAGAACAUUGCUUUUCACGUAGCCAGCAGGAAGAGGGAGACUGAAUGACUCUGUGCUUUAAAUUCUAUGACAUAAAUACCAAAAUAUGUCCAUAUCCUAACUACUUCUCACACUCAUAGCUCAAGAAUCAAAAGAGUAAAGUUACCCAACACCAUAUAACACAUUCAAAAUAUGAGCAAAAAACAUGGACGUGAAAUCUUAUUACUAAAGUUUACUAAAGCACUGUCUAAACAUUUCUGUGUAACUCUAAAAAUGAGGAAUCUGUCCUUGAUCCAGA
Molecule: non-coding RNA, 2713 nt
Organism: Peromyscus maniculatus bairdii (prairie deer mouse)
Lineage: Eukaryota; Metazoa; Chordata; Mammalia; Rodentia; Cricetidae
Source: RefSeq, a predicted model, not a curated record